AAGUCGUAACAAGGUUUCCGUAGGUGAACCUGCGGAAGGAUCAUUAACACGUGUAUUCCACGUAUACUAAAUUAAACACUAACCUUACCACGAACGAUUCCCCAGUUGAACCAACCUCUUGCUGCCUCAGUAUGGCUGCGGUGGGCUGGAGUCUUCGGACUCUUGUCACGUCAUACAGAAGCUUGUCACUCCGGUCUUCGGAUUAGAGAGUGUGGCGGUAACCGGUUUGGCUGGGCUUAACAUUCUCGCACAUAGUUCUCAACCACCUUCGGAUAUGUGCGGGGAGCCCCCCCCCCUUGUAUUAACCAUAUUUUACCUAUUUGGCUAAUGUUUGGAUUGGAGAGUCUUGAAGCUUGCUUCUUUUCUCAAAGAUCCUACUAAGAUUUAUCUUAACUAAGUACAACUCUUAGCAAUGGAUAUCUUGGUUCUC
Molecule: unclassified non-coding RNA, 430 nt
Filed under: fungal sp.
Lineage: Eukaryota; Fungi
Description: partial internal transcribed spacer region
Rfam family: Eukaryotic small subunit ribosomal RNA (bases 1-46)
Source: RNAcentral